This 305-nucleotide unclassified non-coding RNA is filed under the name plant metagenome. RNAcentral's name for it is "partial contains 5.8S ribosomal RNA, internal transcribed spacer 2, and large subunit ribosomal RNA". The stretch from base 1 to 105 matches the Rfam family "5.8S ribosomal RNA", at positions 50 to 154 of the family's 154-position model. The record is from RNAcentral.
GAAAUGCGAUAUGUAAUGUGAAUUGCAGAAUUCAGUGAAUCAUCGAAUCUUUGAACGCACAUUGCGCCCGCCAGUAUUCUGGCGGGCAUGCCUGUUCGAGCGUCAUCUCAACCAUCAAGCCCCCGGCUUGUGUUGGGGACCUGCGGCUGCCCGCAGGCCCUGAAAAACAGUGGCGGGCUCGCUGUCACACCGAGCGUAGUAGCAUACAUUCUCGCUCAGGGCGUGCUGCGGGUUCCGGCCGUUAAACGACCUUCAUAACCCAAGGUUGACCUCGGAUCAGGUAGGAAGACCCGCUGAACUUAAGC